GCCGCGCUGCGCACGGAUGGCGGCGGGAGCCGCAGAGUUUCCUUGUUUCUAGAAGGAGAAAGUUGGAACAUGAAUUCAACAAAUAUUUACUAGGUACCUGCUAGAAGCCAGGCCCUGUCCUAGGCACUGAAGAUUCAGCAACGAAUAAGACAGCCAAGGCCUCUGCCCUCAUAGAUCUUGCAUCAAGCUGGGGAGACAGACAGUAAAUAAAAAUGGGAUUAUGCUAAGUAUCCUAUACUGCUGUACCACUGAUGCCAGGCCAGCAGCCUGGCAUCACAUGGAGUUGGUUGAAAAGAAGAAUCUCAGGGCCAGGUGCAGUGGCCCACACCUGUAAUCCCAGCACUUUGGGAGGCCAAGGCGGGUGGAUCACUUGAGGCCAGGAGUUCGAGACCAGCCUGUCCAACAUGGCGAAACGCCAUCUCUACUAAAUAUACAAAAAUUAGCUGGGCAUGGUAGCCCGCACCUGUAAUCCCAGGUAUGGAUCAGUGGCUACUAUGUGCCAGAUCUCAGCAAGACAGAGGAGGAUGAAGAGGUUAAUAAGACGCAGGGAUCAUCCUGCUGGAAUGGAAGUCACAGGGGAGGGGCUAAGGGGACCAGGUACAUGGGACAAGGGCACCUGGCACAGCCUGGGGCAGAGUCGCCGCUGAGGAAACAGCUGGGUCAGGCUGGGUCAGGCUGGGCCUUCUCUACAUGGUUGCAGGCUGGGCACCAAUAUUUCCUAUGGGCUUUGGGGCUCUGGCAGUCCAGGCGUCUGUGCCUGCACCACCUUAUCUCCUGUUGAAGGGCUCCCCAUCAGCCUGGAACAGGGCAGGUGCCCAUGUGUGCUGAUUGUGCCAUGGUUAGGUCUGAAGCCAGACCGCCUGGUGUUCAAAUCCCACUUCUGUCACUUUCUAACCUGAUGACCUUGGGCAAAUCAUUUUACCUCCCAAAGCUUCGGUUUCUUCAUCUGUAAAAGGGGGAUUAUAAUAACCCCUAACUCAUAGGAUUGUGUGACGGUUCAGUGAUGUAAUAAUAAUUUAGGUAAAGCAUCCAACAGUGCCUGGAACUGUGAAUCAUGAGAGCUACAAAUAGUGUCAUUAUAACCAUCAUCACCAUUGCACUGUCCAAAGAAACUUCUCCGGUGUUGCGAAGGUAGCAGAGGGUGUGACUGGAUGCGGUAAGGGAGGAGAGAGAAUCUGUUAUCCACAAGUCUGUCCCAUCUGGCACAGUUGGCCAAACUAGAGCCCUAAGUCAGGACCUACCCUGGGUCCCCUGGAAGGUAGGGGCAGCAACAAGGUGCCCAUUUGGCUAUUCCCUGCCUCUGUCCUCUGCCUUUCACACUCCAUUUAUUUUUAGGAAAAGGCACAGGUGAGCGACAGCCACUGGGGAGGCCAGAUGAUAAGCAUAUGGUCUUAUAUAUUUCUCUGCCUCUUGUCUGACUUGGAGCUGUUGUUGAAUACAGCCUAUUCCCAGGGAUUCUGAGCUGGGGCAUCUGCUGGGGGUGCCCACCUUAUGGCCUAUGCUGGGUGCCUCACUGGAACUUGCCUCUGUAGGGUGAUGGACACAGAUAUCAAAGGCGCGAAGGUCUGCUAUGAUGAACACUAACCUGAGGACAGAGGGAAGAAAUUGCAUCCUGAAGCAAUCCAUUCAUUCAUUCAUCAUUCACUAAUUUAAUCAGCCUUCACCACACAAACCUGCGAUGUGCAGGGUUCUGAGCUGGGUCCCAAGGACAUGAGGACAACUUGGCAGGUACUUUCUACCAUCAAGGGCACACGACAUUGCUGAGGACAGAAAUAGUGCAAGGUGGGGAGGUGGCAGGUUACAAGAUAAAGAAGCUAUAGUCAAUUGCCAGUUAGAAAGAGUACUGGGAAAAUAGCAAUAAUAGCUACCAUAGAAACUGUGCAAGUACUAGGUGAAGAGGCCUGUGAAACUAACUUAUUGCAAGGCUUGAAUAAAUAGAGACAUUCGCGGCCAGGUGCAGUGGCUCAUGCCUGUAAUCUCAGCACUUUGAGAGGCUGAGGCGG
RNAcentral lists this small RNA (2003 nucleotides) under Pan troglodytes (chimpanzee). Its description in RNAcentral is "processed transcript". The record is from RNAcentral. Lineage: Eukaryota; Metazoa; Chordata; Mammalia; Primates; Hominidae.